CCUGUGGAUGGGAACAAUCUCGGGAAACUGAGGCUAAUUCCCAAUAACGCUCCGCCCCUGGAACGGGCGGAGCUGGAAACGCUACGGCGCCACAGGAUGUGGCUGCGGUCGAUUAGGUAGACGGUGGGGUAACGGCCCACCGUGCCAAUAAUCGGUACGGGUUGUGAGAGCAAGAGCCCGGAGACGGAAUCUGAGACAAGAUUCCGGGCCCUACGGGGCGCAGCAGGCGCGAAACCUUUACACUGUACGCAAGUGCGAUAAGGGGACUCCGAGUGUGAAGGCAUAGAGCCUUCACUUUUGUACACCGUAAGGUGGUGUACGAAUAAGGGCUGGGCAAGACCGGUGCCAGCCGCCGCGGUAAUACCGGCAGCCCGAGUGAUGGCCGAUAUUAUUGGGCCUAAAGCGUCCGUAGCUGGCCGGACAAGUCCGUUGGGAAAUCUGUUCGCUUAACGAGCAGGCGUCCAGCGGAAACUGUU
Molecule: ribosomal RNA, 476 nt
Filed under: Halobacterium noricense
Lineage: Archaea; Methanobacteriati; Methanobacteriota; Halobacteria; Halobacteriales; Halobacteriaceae
Description: bacterial SSU rRNA
Rfam family: Archaeal small subunit ribosomal RNA
Source: RNAcentral